This 474-nucleotide ribosomal RNA is filed under the name uncultured Alcaligenes sp. RNAcentral describes it as "bacterial SSU rRNA". It matches the Rfam family "Bacterial small subunit ribosomal RNA", at positions 49 to 514 of the family's 1533-position model. Lineage: Bacteria; Pseudomonadati; Pseudomonadota; Betaproteobacteria; Burkholderiales; Alcaligenaceae. The record is from RNAcentral.
UUACCAUGCAGUCGAACGGCAGCACGAGAGAGCUUGCUCUCUUGGUGGCGAGUGGCGGACGGGUGAGUAAUAUAUCGGAACGUGCCUAGUAGCGGGGGAUAACUACUCGAAAGAGUGGCUAAUACCGCAUACGCCCUACGGGGGAAAGGGGGGGAUCGCAAGACCUCUCACUAUUAGAGCGGCCGAUAUCGGAUUAGCUAGUUGGUGGGGUAAAGGCUCACCAAGGCAACGAUCCGUAGCUGGUUUGAGAGGACGACCAGCCACACUGGGACUGAGACACGGCCCAGACUCCUACGGGAGGCAGCAGUGGGGAAUUUUGGACAAUGGGGGAAACCCUGAUCCAGCCAUCCCGCGUGUAUGAUGAAGGCCUUCGGGUUGUAAAGUACUUUUGGCAGAGAAGAAAAGGUACCUCCUAAUACGAGGUACUGCUGACGGUAUCUGCAGAAUAAGCACCGGCUAACUACGUGCCAGCAG